GACGUGGGGGGCGAGCGUUGUCCGGAAUUACUGGGCGUCAAGCGCGUGUAGGCGGGAGAUCAGGCGGCGUGUGAAAGACCAGGGCUCAACCCUGGGAGGUCACGCCGAACCGGUUUUCUUGAGUCUGCGAGGGGCGGGUGGAAUGAUCGGAGGAGCGGUAAAAUGCGUAGAGCCCGAUCAGAACACCAGUGGCGAAGGCGGCCCGCUGGAGCAGUACUGACGCUGAGACGCGAAAGCGCGGGGAGCGAACGGG
RNAcentral lists this ribosomal RNA (253 nucleotides) under uncultured bacterium. RNAcentral describes it as "partial 16S ribosomal RNA". It matches the Rfam family "Bacterial small subunit ribosomal RNA", at positions 524 to 776 of the family's 1533-position model. The record is from RNAcentral.